RNAcentral lists this microRNA precursor (105 nucleotides) under Medicago truncatula (barrel medic). Its description in RNAcentral is "miRNA gene32864". It matches the Rfam family "MIR2587 microRNA precursor family". The record is from RNAcentral. Lineage: Eukaryota; Viridiplantae; Streptophyta; Magnoliopsida; Fabales; Fabaceae.
CGAUGGUGUCAUGGUCAUUGUUGACCGUUCAUAGAAACCCUGCAAUUGCAAUGCAUUGUAGCUUGUGUGGGUAUAACGGUGAACAGAGACCUUUGAAAUCAAAGA